GACGAACGCUGGCGGCGUGCUUAACACAUGCAAGUCGAACGGGAGUAUCGAAGAAGCUUGCUUUUAAGAUACUUUAGUGGCGGACGGGUGAGUAACGCGUGAGGAGCUGUCCUAUGCAGGGGGACAACAGUUGGAAACGACUGCUAAUACCCCAUAAGCCGAGAGGUAAAAGGAUUUAUCCGGCAAAGGAGGUACUCGCGUCCUAUCAGCUAGUAGGUGGGGUAACGGCUCACCUAGGCGAAGACGGGUAGCCGGCCUGAGAGGGCGAACGGCCACACUGGAACUGAGAUACGGUCCAGACUCCUACGGGAGGCAGCAGUGGGGAAUAUUGGGCAAUGGGGGGAACCCUGACCCAGCGACGCCGCGUGGGUGAAGAAAUCCCUCGGGAUGUAAAGCCCUGUUGUAUGGGAAGAGCGGAAGACGGUACCAUACGAGGAAGCCCCGGCAAACUACGUGCCAGCCGCCGCCGUAA
RNAcentral lists this ribosomal RNA (472 nucleotides) under uncultured bacterium. Its description in RNAcentral is "partial 16S ribosomal RNA". It matches the Rfam family "Bacterial small subunit ribosomal RNA", at positions 28 to 523 of the family's 1533-position model. The record is from RNAcentral.